This 1253-nucleotide ribosomal RNA is filed under the name Thoradonta yunnana. Its description in RNAcentral is "16S ribosomal RNA". The stretch from base 820 to 1185 matches the Rfam family "Archaeal large subunit ribosomal RNA", at positions 2150 to 2716 of the family's 2987-position model. Lineage: Eukaryota; Metazoa; Arthropoda; Insecta; Orthoptera; Tetrigidae. The record is from RNAcentral.
UUAAUUUUUAUUUAAAUAAUUUUAUUUAUUUUAGGUUAAGUAUUUUAGAACAACUUAUUUUUAUUAUAGUAAAUUUUUAAUGUAAGUGAUUUAUUUUAAAGUUAAUUAAGAAUUUUUUUUUUAUUUUACCUUUUGUAUCAGGGUUGAUUAAGUAUUAAGUUUUUAUAAGUUUUUCCCGAAUUGUGAUGAUUUAUAUUAUAAUGAUUUUUAUUGUUUCAUAAAUAUUUAAAAUUUUAAUAUGGAAGUGAUAUUCUAUACGUUUUGCAAGAUAUCUGGUUUUCUAAGAUUAAAUUAAAUUUGCAGGAAUUUGUUAAACUUAUUUAUUUUAUAUUGUUUUAUUAAUUUUCGGUUAUUUUUUAGGGGUUAAGCUCUAGAUAUUAAUUAUAAUUUAUUAGUAGUUUAUUUUUAUGUAGGCUUGGAAUUAGCCAUUGUUAUAAGUUUGUAUUAUUUUAUUAUUUGGAUUAAUUAUUUUUAAUUUAUUUAAUUUUUUUAUUAGAAUUGAAAUUAAAAUUUUAUUUGUUUGGUGAUAAUGGUUAAAUUAGUAUAUGAUUUAUGUAUUUUUAAUAAUAUUUGAGAUUUUAUUAAAAGGAAUUCGGCAAUAAUAUUUCCGCUUGUUUAUCAAAAACAUCUCUUGUAGAGUUUUAUUAUAGGUAGGGCCUGCACACUGAGAAUUUAAAGAGCCGCAGUAUUUUGACUGUGCAAAGGUAGCAUAAUCAUUAGCAUAUUAAUUGUAUGCUGGGAUGAAAGGUUUGACGAGAAAUAUUCUGUCUCUUUUUAAAAUAUAGAAUUUUACUUUUUAGUAAAAAGGCUGAGAUAAAUUUUUUGGACGAUAAGACCCUAUAGAGUUUAAUUUGUUAGGUUAUUAUGGUUUGGGUUAGAAUUUAUUGUGAUAAUUAAAUUGAAUUUAGUUGGGGCGAUUUGAAUAAUAAUUAAACUAUUCAUUUGUUUUUUCAUUGAUUUAUGUAUUUAUGAUCUUUUAUUAUUGAUUUUUAGAUAAAAUUACCUUAGGGAUAACAGCGCAAUCAUCUCUGAGAGUUCUUAUUGACGGGAUGGGUUGUGACCUCGAUGUUGGAUUAAGGUUAUUAAUCAGGUGAAGGAGCUUGAUUUAAUUGGUCUGUUCGACCAUUGAAAUCUUACAUGAUCUGAGUUCAGACCGGCGUGAGCCAGGUUGGUUUCUAUCCAAAAAUGAUUUAAAUUUACUAGUACGAAAGGACCGUUAAUUUUAAUUAUUUUAUUUUAUUUGAUUAAUAUUA